This 497-nucleotide ribosomal RNA is filed under the name uncultured bacterium. Its description in RNAcentral is "partial 16S ribosomal RNA". It matches the Rfam family "Bacterial small subunit ribosomal RNA", at positions 28 to 507 of the family's 1533-position model. The record is from RNAcentral.
GAUGAACGCUGGCGGCGUGCCCAAUACAUGCCAGUCGAGCGAACGGACGAGAAGCUUGCUUUUCUGAUGUUAGCGGCGGACGGGUGAGUAACACGUGGAUAACCUACCUAUAAGACUGGGAUAACUUCGGGAAACCGGAGCUAAUACCGGAUAAUAUUUUGAACCGCAUGGUUCAAAAGUGAAAGACGGUCUUGCUGUCACUUAUAGAUGGAUCCGCGCUGCAUUAGCUAGUUGGUAAGGUAACGGCUUACCAAGGCAACGAUGCAUAGCCGACCUGAGAGGGUGAUCGGCCACACUGGAACUGAGACACGGUCCAGACUCCUACGGGAGGCAGCAGUAGGGAAUCUUCCGCAAUGGGCGAAAGCCUGACGGAGCAACGCCGCGUGAGUGAUGAAGGUCUUCGGAUCGUAAAACUCUGUUAUUAGGGAAGAACAUAUGUGUAAGUAACUGUGCACAUCUUGACGGUACCUAAUCAGAAAGCCACGGCUAACUACGUG